AGUAGAAUGUAUUAGACAAAACAGAAAUUCUGCAGAUGCAAAGACAGAUGUUUUGCAUAUAUGGAAAUCCAACACAGCUAUCCACACCCUCAGAUUUGAUAAUCCCCUGUUCCCAUUUGGAAUAAGACAGAAUACCCAGAGAUAUGAUAACCUCGAGUAAGGUUAUAGGUAAGACUAUUUCUCCCUCAUAGUCAGUCCCAGUUUUACAGAAUGAAGUUGCUCUGAAAAAUUAAACCCACUGCUGAACUCUACAGACAGGAGAGGAUGAAAUGCUGUAAUAGGAUGGGAAACACCACAGUAAUAGCAGGGUGGCAAAGCCUUCAGCUACAGCAAAUGAGAACAAGCCCAAAUGCAGAGGACACGGAAAUGAAGGAAAAGAGCUGCUUACCUUUGGAAGGCCUCAGAUCAGCAGGGAUCUCCACUGCCAAUCCUUAAAUGAGGUCUGGGAAGGGAUGGAUCCUUGCUUCACCCCUCCUGUUACUCAGGUACACUGCAAGCACCUGAGCCCCCCCUGGGUUGGCCCUGCCUUCCCACCAGGUGCUCCAUCACUGGUUCAGGCCAUGACGCAGCACUUCGAUUACAGAGGAAUACCUUACUAACACUAAUAAGUUUCAACAUUUUCCUUCCUGUUUAUAACCAUCUGGAAAGAUGUUUCUCAUACCACCUUUGAUGUUAAAACAGCAAAAAUACUGCAUGAGAAGCACAUACUUGAAAUUCCUACUUACAGUUUAGCAGUACUAGUAGUAGUGCAGUAAUGCUCAAUAUAAUCAGGUGACAAUUAAAAACUAUAUCUGGUCUUAAGUGACUUUGGGACUAUCCAACUUGUUCCACAAAACAGAAUCAGAAAAUUGCUGCAAAGAAGGCUCAAAAGCCAAGACCUGGUUAACUUGCACCCAAAUGGCACAUAUAAAAUCAUGUUCCAUGAUAAUUAGUCUGUUCCCAUUUCACCAAGCUUUGUCUCUGCUACUGUUUUCUCACAGCUGUGAAACUUCUCCUUCCUCCAAAUGAAAGCUGAGUCUUUAAGAACACAACAAUAAUGAAACAUCGAAGGCAGCUGUGGAAAGCAAAAUUUUCCUUUUUCCAGUUGUCACAGGAAUGAAGACAAGACACAGAUUUUCACAUAAAAAAAAACCAACCACCUGUCUUACCUCAUUAUUGAAAAUAUGCACUCCAUUGCUUCAUCCACUUGCUUUACAAUGUGAAAUUGAACCAGUUGGUGAUUUGAAUGAUUACUGAAAUAUCUUCAAGAAAAAUGCCAUUUCAGGCCAUGAUGUGUUUUUUUACCUGGCUCCUUCCACUCCUGACCAGAACACAUUCUCAUUCUAAUCCAUUUGGAGGAUGACACGUUUGUAUUGGUGUCAACAGAGAAAUCUCUACUUCCACAGAAAAAUAAUGCCUAUCUGCUUUGCUGACAAACACAACAUGCUGUAGAUAUUUGACAGUUCUGCAGAGGCCCAAUCUGUGUAAGAAUAGAUUUUAUGGGCCACAGAACAAAGAUAUCAAUCUGUUGGUCAUCUGCUGAGAGAUCAUUUCCAGUCUUCCUCAAGACAUUCAAGAGAUAAACAUUCAGAUAUUGAUUUCUAAAGAUCACCAAUGAAAAUACUCAUCAAAUCAGCACAUGUUACACAGACUCACUUGGGGGAAAAGUAACAAGAAUGCACUCCUUUAGAUCUUGGGGUAUGUGUUCGUUUUCACAUCCUCCUUUCAGUAGGCAUCUGCAGCAAUUCUUGCAAACAUAACAUCAAGACAAAGAAGCAAAGCCCAACACCACUCAGGUUAACAUAAACUGCCUUCAUACUACAAAAGGUACCCAGGAGAUCUUGGGGCUAUGAAAGCUAUGCCAUGGUACACUACUACUACCACAAAACAAAACACACUCUUCAGUUCAACAGCUUGUAUUUGAAAAGCAGAUCUUUCACAGGAAUACAACAGUCAUUACCAAAAGUUAAGCUACCUUCACACAAUUCCAUACAUUCAAACAUUACAUUAAAAAAAGAAAAAAAAGAAGUGACGAUGGGGAAGGAGAUAAUUCUUCCUCCCUAGAAUAAAGUGAAACCAGCAGCAAGAGUUUGCUAUGCAGAAAGCUACAAUGAAUUUCAUUGUCUUUCUAGAUCGUUUACUGCAAACAAGCUGAAUAUAUAGGACAAUACCACUCAAAGGAUUUUAAGAAGUGUUUAAAUGGAACUCAGGUAUGUAGAUUGAGUUUAUCAAGGUUUUCAAGAGAAAAAUGCAUUUCAUUUCAAACCAUCCCUUUUAAAGAAGAAAUUGAAAGAGAAUACUACCCUAAAAAUCAAAUCACAAUGCUUACUGCUUAUGAAAGAAGAACAUUAAGGUAAUACCCACUCAUGCAACAACUUACAAGUGUGUGCAUGAACAUACCCACCCAGACUGCUGUACAGGCACAGGGGACUGCAGGAAAAGUCCAGAAGUGACAGCAUACCUUCCCUGACUACACAGGCCAGAGAUCCCACUACAUCAUGAGCAGAGAUUUGUCUGCUUUCCAAGACAGCUAGGAGCUAUGUCUGUGCUUGAUACAGCAUGCAACACAGACUAAUAAACCCUAAUGAGUCAAAGGCAUUGGCUCACCUCUCAGGCAAUGAUGAACUUGUAGCUUUUGCUUGUUCAUCCAAAGAACAGAAGCUUGUUUCCAAGUCAGGAGUGAGCAAGAUCAAAAUCAAGAUAUGACAAAAUUUGUAAUUCUAACAUUUAACAGAAACACUGGUCUUUUGACAGAAUGUAGAGGCAGGGCUGGAUAUCUGCCCGUUUUGCAGCAAUUCACCUGGCUCCUCAGCAGCAGGGAGCUGGAAGUGAGGAUGUGCUGGUUUCCUGCCACCUGAGCUCCAGCCUGCCUCUCCCAGGACAGAGUCUAGCUCGCCAAAGAGCACCAGGAGCCCACAAAGCUGCCACAGGAAGAUGAUCUAAUCCUAUUAGUUUCAUUAGCAUCCCCACUGAUCAACAGCAGCAGAACUGUCAGACCCCUUCAGCUUCACGCAGCAGCCGGCAGGAAUUCUGGAGAGCACAUGGAGUUUCUUCAGCUAAACACUGUAUGAUUUUAACUGUACAGUCAGAGGAAGAGGGGGCAUUUUUUAGCCCAGUUUAGAGUUUUCCUUGUUUGGGGAUGAAAACUUGUUAAAACCAAAUAUAUAUACUCACUGCAGCUCUACCAGAACCACCUGAAUCACUCCUAUUUGGAUGCUUCAAUUUCUGGCAUUUCCAACAAGGAAUGGGGAACUAGCCAUGAGCUAUACAUUCAGAUCUACAUUCAGGGUUUUACCAACAAACAUUUCAGCCAAAGGAAAAGCCUUCCUGUGGUGAAAAGGCUUCUCACUGAAACAGUGGUUAGAUCCCAUCCGGUGAAGUUCAAGAACUGUUUCUCAAACAGACCAGCCCCCUGCACUGGAUGAGCCACAGGGACCCAGCUGAAACUCAUUACAAAGCUACCUGCACACUGCACAAGGUACUCACUCUGAGACAAUAGGACACUCUCUUGUAUGCAGCAUUUAACAUUAUACAGUCCUGCUCCGGACUGAUUUUGCAGUAAAAGCAGAUGGUAUAGACAAGAAGACCUCAAAAUAUAGUAAUUUAAUAAUCCAAGUAUUUUAGAGAAGAAAGCUUCCUUCAUUUUUAUAAACUUCAGGCCUCUGCAGGACUGAAAGAGUAUAUUAUGGAACCAAUGUAAGAGAUAAGAAUUAAAAUCUGAUUUUACCAUAGCUAUGCCUGUGUCUGCAUGUGUGAAUAGCAUCUUCUACAUCUUUCAUGAAACACAGGUUUAUCUGAGUGUGUUCUAAAGUACUGAAUGAGCACUGCAUGUUGGCCUGCUCACUUGCACAUUGAGCCUCAGCCCAACAGAAGCUCUUGGGAAAAGAAUACAACAAAAAACUACUUGAAGACUAUCCAUCUCACAGCCAAAACAGACAUGACCAAGGGGCAGUUACUUCCAAUGGUGCCAAAUAAAAGCUCAGAUGUCAGGUCAAAGGCCUGUGUUGAUUAAGAUACCAACAUUUGUUCCACCCAGUUGGAACAAAAUGCUACCUCAACAGAGUUAUUCAUACACUGAAAGCUAAUCCAUCUCACCUGCUGUGACUCCUCUAGAGCGUAACCUCAAAUGACUCCUGUCUCUAGCUCUCACUCUGCCCAUUUCCUGACAGAUCCAACAAACCAACAGGGAUGAUUCUCCCAAUACCUCCAAACUGCCCGCUAUCAAAACUGAAGUGUGUAGCAAAAUACAUGGCUUGACGUUUCCUACAGCAGUCAGGUUUCAACUAUGGGAAGAGUUAGACUGAGAUAACUGAGCAUUAAAAACAUCACAUGCAAGUUAUCUACAGAGAGAUCCAUGAGUUUUCAGAAUCAUGCAUUAGGAGCUGCACAUCUUGCCUCUGCAGGACUUGGUGGUGAUGCCACCAAGCUGCUGCCAGCAAGGAUCCAAGCUACAUCCGAGCCCAUUUCAGAGCCCUUCACCACAAUGGCCUGGCAAAGGCCAGCCAUUACCACUGCCCACUGUGGUGACAAUGUGAUUUCCAUUUAUUUUGACAACAAGGACUCUCUGCUAGCACUGUCAACAAAUACAGCACAGUCUUUAUUUUUUCAUGCAUGAACUAAAAAAAAAAACAUAAACAUUUCUGUGACAGCAGGCCUGCAAAGUAGACUUAGCUACUGCAAAGAAGCUAAGUAGUUCUACCCUUCCACGUUCUUUCCUCUACAAAAAAUACAUAUUUUGAUAAAGUAUCUCUGCAAGGGAGAAAACACAGUUUCCAGAAAUAUUAUUCUUGUGUUUUCAAAAGAAUCAUUACAAAUGAACAAAAAAGAACUUUAGCACCUCUAGUUAUAAUCCUCCAUACCAACCUUUAUUAAAAGAUGCUAGGGCUUCUUUCCCUCCACCAUACACAACAUCCCAAGGACCUCACAGCCCUCCAACGCGCCCCCUGCAGUCCCAGUGCGGCCGCCCAGAGGACGCCAGGCCCUCUCCUCCACACCCCUCUGCUUUGGCAUCAGGGCAGAAGAGAUGCCACCUUCUCACGCUCCAGGGCCAGAGCUGAGGGAUGGCAAAGGACAGCCGACACGACCACACAAACUCCACUGCUUUUAAUGACUGCCUCUCCCUCGGCUGCCUGUGGGGCAUCACCAUGCUUUGCUCCUCCUCCACCCCAGGCAGCUGCAGGGGGCCUGAGAAGCCUCUGCCCCACCGACCCUCUUGCUACAUUCGUGCCACUGCCUCCCAGAAAUGGCCGCAGGCCCCAACUGCCAGCCGCCAUGUUUGGGCCAGCACCUGCUGCUCAGAAUCCUGUUGCCAUGGGCACCCAACUGCCCUCAACUGCAGUCCCUGAGCUGACACAGCAGGAGACUGCGGCACUUUGCAGUAUCGCAAAGAGCUACUUUGUAUUUCUUUUGAUUUCUGAGGACGGGAUGGAGCAGCCACCCUUAAAGAAGAGGCGGCUGCUGGAAGAGGCUGAUGACAUCGAGCCCAUGGAGGUGGACCCGCCUGGCAGCCAAGAAGAGCCCAUGGAGGUGGAUCCACCUGUGGCAGAUGAGCUGAUGGAAGUGGAUCCACCUCCAUCGGGGCACACUGGCCAUCUCGCUGCUGCUGCCAGGCCAACCAGGAAGAGGUCGCGCCCCAAAUGCCAUCGCAGGGGCGCCAGGAUCCGUCCACCUCCCGCCAAACGGCCGCCUCGACGCCGGCGCUGAUCCUCCCGUCCUCCAAGGCUCCUACGAGCCCUUCCUUCCCCACCCCCUCCCUCGUCCCUUCCCAAGUCCUCUCAUCUCUUCUUCACCAAGUCCUGAGGAAGAGGGCAGGGCAGGGACUGCCAUCCUCGGAGCUGCUGUGCCGGGGCAGCGGGACGAGUCUGACAGAGGGACCUCACACAUCUCAGGGGUGCAAGGAUCCUAAUAAGACUCCCAUGAGCCCAUCCUUCACGUCUUCCUCCCUCAUCCCUGCCCAAGGCAGGAGAAGAAGCCAAAGAAGGGACAGAGCUGCUGCUUCUGGGGGGAACCACACUUCAAUUUGGACAUGAAGAAGUGCUGAAAUACAGCAAGAAGAUCCAAUCCAGAUGCUUCACUUCCACUUCUCUUUCAACACGGGACCAUCACCAUCUUAAAAUAACAAUUGAAAAUAAUAAAAAAGUAAAAAGCACACAACUAAAUAAACCAUCUUCCAUUUUUGAAAACACAACCACUGACUGUCUCUCUGCUUCAGGAAGCUUCGAGUUUGCACGCAGGUUCCCGCGCCCCCUCCUUGCCUCCCGCACA
Molecule: non-coding RNA, 6243 nt
Organism: Phasianus colchicus (ring-necked pheasant)
Lineage: Eukaryota; Metazoa; Chordata; Aves; Galliformes; Phasianidae
Source: RefSeq, a predicted model, not a curated record